Molecule: ribosomal RNA, 460 nt
Filed under: uncultured bacterium
Lineage: Bacteria
Description: partial 16S ribosomal RNA
Rfam family: Bacterial small subunit ribosomal RNA
Source: RNAcentral
CCUACGUGGUGCAGCAGUGAGGAAUAUUGCUCAAUGGGCGCGAGCCUGAACCAGCCAAGUAGCGUGAAGGAUGACUGCCCUACGGGUUGUAAACUUCUUUUAUAACGGAAUAAAGUUAGACACGUGUGCCUUUUUGUAUGUACUUUAUGAAUAAGGAUCGGCUAACUCCGUGCCAGCAGCCGCGGUAAUACGGAGAGUCCGAUCGUUAGUCGGAUGUAUUGGGUUUAAAGGGAACGUCGAAGGGUCUUUAAGUCAGGUGUGAAAGUUUGCGGCUCAACCGUAAAAUUGCAAUUGAUACUGGCAGUCUUGAGUACAGUUGAGGUAGGCGGAAUUCGUGGUGUAGCGGUGAAAUGCGUAGAUAUCACGAAGAACUCCGAUUGCGAAGGCAGCUUACUAAACUGCCACUGACAUUGAUGCUCGAAAGUGUGGGUAUCAAACAGGAUUAGAUACCCUGGUAGUC